ACUAUUUUGCCCAAGCAUUUUGUUCAAUUUGGAAGACAUGGUAUUGAGAAAAGAAUGGGGACUGUGACGUGGAUCCAGCAUGGCCUUUCAGUGAUCUUUUAACCUUGAUGACUUCGUGGGGGUGCACGUGGGGAGGAGAGCAUUGUGGAAAAUGGUAACAGUGCAUUGUUUGCUUUGCUCCAACAUCUUCUUAAACUUUGAGUGAAUAGUA
Long non-coding RNA from Galeopterus variegatus (Sunda flying lemur), 211 nucleotides. RefSeq lists it as uncharacterized. The record is from RefSeq and is a predicted model, not a curated record. The transcript is spliced from 2 exons. NCBI's taxonomy places the organism in Eukaryota, Metazoa, Chordata, Mammalia, Dermoptera, Cynocephalidae.